AAAAUUGUGGGUGAGGGGGGGGGGGCUGCCCCGAUGGCGUGUGCCCUUUUGAAGAUGUGCUUAAAAACUGUAGGCUUGUCGGAAAGAUAUCGAUGACCAAAGAUAAAAGGAAUAUCAUUCAAGAGAGGCAAGAUAGAGUAUAUGCAUAUAUCAUGUAACCAAAAUUGACACUUUUUAUAAAAAUAUAUCUUUUUCCUAUAUCAUCAAACUUUACCAAUAGGCCUAAUGAUCUUUAACGUUUGUGUACAUCCCCCAUCUUUGAUUACGUAGUAUGUGAACGUUUCCAUAGAUAUGUGUUUUACGCACUUGCUUGAAAAAUUGCAAGCUAACCAGGUGUGUAGUGAUUGUUGCCUUGUUGGUGAUGCUACCGUCAUGGUACUGCUGUCAAAAACACAAGAUAUGUUUUUUCAAGGAGUUCUUAAAAUCAUGCAGCAUUUGCUCAUCAAACUUCGCCUUUAAUAAGUUUUACAAUAAUAGGAGUUGGGAAUCUUUGCAAUUAAACCAAGGUGAAGUAAACUUUUAUUCAAGCAUACUUUCGAUUGGUCAACUGAUGACUGAAAUCAUCUUUAGCUCUGUAAAAGAAUUUUUGGCCUUUUGAGAGUUUUUAAACUUUUUGAAAACAAUAAUGUGAGGCAAAGGGCGCACCGGGAAAUUUCCCGAUGUCCCGGUGGGCUAGUCUGCUUCUGCUCGCAGUCAUUUACUUCAGAGUUUGCCUAUCACGUGAUAAUUGAUAAUUGCAAGCUCAAGUAUGCAAAAAACCAGUUGCGAUCAGCAAUGGGUCACGAGAGGUUAAAUAAACGUCGAGCUUCACUUAUUUGUCACCUGAUGAACAUGAAGCAAUGGGUACAAUUGCGGAUAAACAUGUGCUGAAAGACUUCUCAUGCACUAAAAAUUGUCCAGUUCAUUUCUUUAGAUUCCUAAGAGAUUGACUAUCAGUCCCAUUGCGUGUUUGACUUUUAAUUAAAGAUACUGAUUACUGAUGAUUAUGAUUAUCAAAAGCUUGAAUACCGAUGCUUCCUUUUCUCUGAUUUAUUGAAACCUGAUUUUCUCCCCCAUAUUUUUUUCUUAAGAAUUGGCAUGUGCUCGAUGACGUCAUUGUUUUGUAAACCUGUUGUUGGAAAGUUUGUUAGAUGUGCCCCCUACCUAAGAGUCAUUUCUCACGAUACCCCUGUCUUUAAAACCAGUCUAAGCAGAUGAAACUCCAUACGCUUUCGAACAGUGGUGGUCACUUGGUAAUUUGGAGGGACAACUAAUGACACAAGAUUUCUAUUUACUUUCCAUUUUGCUAAACUUAUUCGCUAGCUAUAAAACGAAUUCGAAGCUUAUGAAAUAUGUCCUUUGCCCAUAAAUCUAUUAGCGGGAGAAUUUUUAAAAUCUACGGCUCAGUGGAUACUGAAGAAUUGUGUUGUGGACUUAGCCCUCAGUUCCUUAUUUUGAUGUAUUUCUCUUCUUAGGCAAUAUCUAGUUUUCUUCAUUUGAAUAAAGAACCAAAAUAACGUCCCCUCGACACGGUGACGGAGAUUUUUACAAGCGCAAUUAUUUUUAUCUGUUUUAGAAAGUCUGCGUGCACACUAUGAGCGUCCACAUUGAGAGUAUGAAAAGUAGAAACUAUUUUUACGCAAAGAUAACUGUUUUAUAGCUUAGAGAUAACUUAGAACAUCCUAUAAAUUGUUGAUUCUUCGAAGUUUUUCAAAGUAUUACCAGCCGUUAUGGUCGGAUGAACCAGUAUGAUCUACCAACGACACUACGACCCUGCGCAAUCCUUGGGGAGAUAGUUGUAGCCUCGGUUCCAAACAUUCAGCAAACGAAUUUGGAGGGAAUGAACACCAUGUUGAAUUGCACGAGGCGGUUAUGGACGAAGGUCCAUUUUGCAGCUCCAUUUCCUUGUUUUUUAUCAACACUCUUGGCCACAUCUCUUCAAAGUUAGCUUAAAAGCAAACUGCUACAAAGAACGAAGAUUGCUGCUCUGCUAACGAUUCAAAACAAGGUGGUUGCGACACGAACUUUGUUAUCAUUAUGAAGAAAAUCUCAGCAAAAUUGCUACGAUAUCACUUGGAGGUUCAAUCAAAUGUCAUCAAAACAUUUCAGAAAGGUACUACUUUCCAGAUAUCACUUGAAGGUUGAGCCAAAUGUCAUCAAAACAUGUCAGAAAGGUACUACUUUCCAGAUAUCACUUGAAGGUUGAGCCAAAUGUCAUCAAAACAUGUCAGAAAGACAUCAAUUGGAAGUUCAACGAAAGUUCAUCAAAUGAUUUCAGAAAGAAAUUUUUUUCAGCAUUUCAGAUAUCACUUAGAGUCUCAACAAAAUGUCUUGAAAUGAUUUCAGAAAGGAGUUUUGGCUGAGGUGAAUUGUGAGAGGCCGAAAAACUCAACAAUUAUUCUGAUCGACGUUGAUUUCAUUAUUAAUCGAAAUUUAUCUUCGGAUGUCUGUGUUUGACUUUGGAAAAGUGGAACGGAAGAACCCUUCUUCUAUCUAUGCAACGGCAUUGGAGUGAACGGUCAGCUUUUCUAUUUGCAAAAUGACGUCAUCGUACUUGCAUAUGCAGCAAAGGCAAGUCCUUACCUAACAAAAGGAUAAAGCUGACGAUACAGCUGAUAAUUACGGCUGCUAACAUAUCUACGGAGCUGAUAGAGCGCUAUCCACAAGAGCUAGGAAGGAGACAAAAUUUCCAUGAGACAAAAAUUCAAUUUAUUAAAUCGUACUUCUAAUGAACAUUUAGUAACUGGUUUCCAGCCAGAGUUUGAAAUAACAUUAUUUUGUGUCAAGGAAUUUGCUGUAGUCUCCCUCAUACAGCUAAGAAAAGUAGCAUCAAUGGAUUUCAAAUCUAUUUUUCGGAAUACAUUAGCUUCGGAUCUAGUUUGCCAAAAAAAGGACAUUUUAUUGGGAUUUUGUGUAAAUUAAAACUAUUUUUAAAGCAACAGUGAUUAUGUCAUUCAGUAUUUACCUUGGCUUGCAAUGGCGAAUCCCUGAAUAUUGCUUGAUC
Non-coding RNA from Rhopilema esculentum, 2983 nucleotides. Lineage: Eukaryota; Metazoa; Cnidaria; Scyphozoa; Rhizostomeae; Rhizostomatidae. The record is from RefSeq and is a predicted model, not a curated record.